AGCAAUCAAGAAAGCAGGAAAGAACGGGUGAAGCGAUAGGGCGGCACGCAAGUGACAUGGCGGUCAGGCUGUAGGAUAACAGACAGAGCGUGUGCAGAAUAAACAUGUCCCGUUAAAGUAGUUGAAGAAAGCAGGAACAUCAGGGCAAGAAAGCACAGUGUAUCGCACUAUUUGAAGAAAGCGGACAGGUUGAGCCGAACAACACUUUUCCCCUAGAACAAGAAGAUGUUAAGCAGAAGAAUCAACCGAGCGAGAUGACACAGCACUUGAUUGAA
Molecule: non-coding RNA, 275 nt
Submitted as: unclassified sequences
Source: Rfam